This 691-nucleotide ribosomal RNA is filed under the name uncultured bacterium. Its description in RNAcentral is "bacterial SSU rRNA". It matches the Rfam family "Bacterial small subunit ribosomal RNA", at positions 105 to 831 of the family's 1533-position model. The record is from RNAcentral.
GGUGAGUAACGCGUGGGAACGUACCUUUCGCUACGGAAUAGCUCUUGGAAACGAGUGGUAAUACCGUAUACGCCCUCCGGGGGAAAGAUUUAUCGGCGAAAGAUCGGCCCGCGUUAGAUUAGGUAGUUGGUGGGGUAAUGGCCUACCAAGCCUACGAUCUAUAGCUGGUCUGAGAGGAUGAUCAGCCACACUGGGACUGAGACACGGCCCAGACUCCUACGGGAGGCAGCAGUGGGGAAUCUUGCACAAUGGGCGAAAGCCUGAUGCAGCCAUGCCGCGUGAAUGAUGAAGGCCUUAGGGUUGUAAAAUUCUUUCGCCAGGGAUGAUAAUGACAGUACCUGGUAAAGAAGCCCCGGCUAACUUCGUGCCAGCAGCCGCGGUAAUACGAAGGGGGCUAGCGUUGUUCGGAAUUACUGGGCGUAAAGCGCACGUAGGCGGACUUUUAAGUCAGAUGUGAAAUCCCGGGGCUCAACCUCGGAACUGCAUUUGAAACUGGAAGUCUGGAGUUCAGGAGAGGUUAGCGGAAUACCGAGUGUAGAGGUGAAAUUCGUAGAUAUUCGGUGGAACACCAGUGGCGAAGGCGGCUAACUGGACUGAUACUGACGCUGAGGUGCGAAAGUGUGGGGAGCAAACAGGAUUAGAUACCCUGGUAGUCCACACCGUAAACGAUGACAGCUAGUUGUUGGCAGGC